RNAcentral lists this ribosomal RNA (492 nucleotides) under uncultured bacterium. RNAcentral's name for it is "partial 16S ribosomal RNA". It matches the Rfam family "Bacterial small subunit ribosomal RNA", at positions 29 to 507 of the family's 1533-position model. The record is from RNAcentral.
AGUGAACGCUGGCGGUAGGCCUAACACAUGCAAGUCGAACGGCAGCACAGUAAGAGCUUGCUCUUACGGGUGGCGAGUGGCGGACGGGUGAGGAAUACAUCGGAAUCUACUUUUUCGUGGGGGAUAACGUAGGGAAACUUACGCCAAUACCGCAUACGACCUACGGGUGAAAGCAGGGGAUCUUCGGACCUUGCGCGAUUGAAUGAGCCGAUGUCGGAUUAGCUAGUUGGCGGGGUAAAGGCCCACCAAGGCGACGAUCCGUAGCUGGUCUGAGAGGAUGAUCAGCCACACUGGAACUGAGACACGGUCCAGACUCCUACGGGAGGCAGCAGUGGGGAAUAUUGGACAGUGGGCGCAAGCCUGAUCCAGCCAUACCGCGUGGGUGAAGAAGGCCUUCGGGUUGUAAAGCCCUUUUGUUGGGAAAGAAAAGCAGCAGGUUAAUACCCCGCUGUUCUGACGGUACCCAAAGAAUAAGCACCGGCUAACUUCGUG